GAUGAACGCUGGCGGCGUGCUUUACACAUGCAAGUCGAACGGUGAAGCAGGAGCUUGCUCUUGUGGAUCAGUGGCGAACGGGUGAGUAACACGUGAGCAACCUGCCCCUGACUCUGGGAUAAGCGCUGGAAACGGCGUCUAAUACUGGAUAUGUGAUGUGACCGCAUGGUCUGCAUCUGGAAAGAAUUUCGGUUGGGGAUGGGCUCGCGGCAUAUCUGCUUGUUGGUGAGGUAAUGGCUCACCAAGGCGUCGACGUGUCGCCGGCCGGAGAGGGUGACCGGCCACACUGGGACUGAUACACGGCCCAGACUCCUACGGGAGGGAGCAGUGGGGAAUAUUGCACAAUGGGCGGAAGCCUGAUGCAGCAACGCCGCGUGAGGGAUGACGGCCUUCGGGCUGUAAACCUCUUUUAGCAGGGAAGAAGCGAAAGUGACGGUACCUGCAGAAAAAGCACCGGCUAACUACGUGCCAGCCGCCGCCGUAA
This 484-nucleotide ribosomal RNA is filed under the name uncultured bacterium. RNAcentral's name for it is "partial 16S ribosomal RNA". It matches the Rfam family "Bacterial small subunit ribosomal RNA", at positions 28 to 523 of the family's 1533-position model. The record is from RNAcentral.